This 475-nucleotide long non-coding RNA is filed under the name Sus scrofa (pig). RNAcentral describes it as "lncRNA (ENSSSCG00070015372.1)". Lineage: Eukaryota; Metazoa; Chordata; Mammalia; Artiodactyla; Suidae. The record is from RNAcentral.
AUGAAAAGGCAUGCAUGCUUGUGUGUUCACAAGAGAAGAGCAUUUCUUUUAGCCGGUUGUAGGCAAACAGAUUACUUAUACCAUGUUUUGGCCUGCAGUAAUUGUUGGCCCCAGGCUUGGAGCAGGAGCUUGGGUAAUCACGGGAGAUGCGAAGCAGCGAGUGCGACAGUGCCAACGAAGUGCUUAAUCCAUGCAGGCUGGGAGAAGCAGAAGGAGAUGUUGCUCAUCCAGUUCCACCUUGUUCGUUUCAUGUCCCGUGCUGUUGCCCAGCUGGGAUCCUUGAGGACAAACACAUCACUGUGUCCUGGCCCCUCCCCAGGGCUGUGCAUGCACUGGCCAGUGAAGCAAGAGAGAGCAAAGUGGGAUGAUCUGUCACUACACCUGCAGCACCACGUUCGGAGGACAGCUCCUGCUCGCAGCUUCUAGACCCAGGUAAACCCCCCCCAAAACCGAAACAAUCCCCUCCCCCCACAAC